This 253-nucleotide ribosomal RNA is filed under the name uncultured bacterium. Its description in RNAcentral is "partial 16S ribosomal RNA". It matches the Rfam family "Bacterial small subunit ribosomal RNA", at positions 524 to 776 of the family's 1533-position model. The record is from RNAcentral.
UACGUAGAUGGCGAGCGUUAUUCGGAUUCACUGGGCGUAAAGGGUCCGUAGGGGGUCUGCCGAGUCCGAUGUGAAAUGCCGCGGCUCAACCGCGGCACUGCAUUGGAUACCGGCGGGCUUGAGUCUGCGAGGGGUGAGCGGAAUUCCUGGUGUAGCGGUGGAAUGCGUGGAUAUCAGGAAGAACACCGAUGGCGAAGGCGGCUCACUGGCGCAGUACUGACCCUGAGGGACGAAAGCGUGGGUAGCAAACAGG